Molecule: long non-coding RNA, 4772 nt
Filed under: Mustela putorius furo (domestic ferret)
Lineage: Eukaryota; Metazoa; Chordata; Mammalia; Carnivora; Mustelidae
Description: lncRNA (ENSMPUG00000026026.1)
Source: RNAcentral
CUCAGGAAGUCUGACGUUGACACAAACAGUUACAGCCAUCAGAACCACGACUGCUUUAAUAGACACUGAAACGAGCCUACUAGCCAAAUACUGGGAGAAUAAUCGGGACCGGGGGAGAGUGAGAAAGUUGAGUGCUGGAAUGGCAGAUUAUGGCUGGAAGUCCUGAAGCCAGGUGGUAGCCGUGACACCACCACUUCUCCCAGCUUCGGUUUAUUCAACCGUAAAACUAGGUGACUGGACAAAAUGAAAAGAACCCUUUCUUUUUAAAAAAGAUUUAUUGAGAGAGAGAGAAAGAGAGAGUGCGCGCACAACAGCGCGAGGGACGGGGAGGGAGGGAGGGAGAGGGAGAGAAGCAGACUCUCUGAGAAGCAGGGAACCCGACAUGGGGCUUGACCCCAGGACCCUGGGAUCAUGACCCGAGACAAAGGCAGACGCUUAACUAACUGAACCACCCAGGUGCCCCAAAAGAACCCUUUCUGAUCAAGCGGUAGGGGAGAAAGAAAUCAGACGGACCCACAAGUAAAAUGGACGCUGUCCUGGAACCCAAACCCAGGGAUCAAGUCUGCUCUGGCAAUACAGUGAAGCGUCGAAGUCUAGUCCCUGUGUUCCCUUCUCUCCCACACAGGGCACGAGGGGCCACUCUGAGCUGCUUGGAAUUACACCACUGAAAUAACUGGAGGAGCGAACUCAGCUGGCUGACCGAGGAAACAGUGUCCCAGGCUUGGAAGAAAGCGAAACGAACCCCGGAGAACCGCGGCACCGACUACCCACCGCCCCUCUCCCGGCCAGGCCGGAGAUGCUGAAUCACUGCCGGAAUCCUCCCGUUGGCGGGGGUUCCCAUAGCCCCUAGCCCCGGGCCGCUCUGAGAAUGACAGGACGGGGGGCUCGCCAUUCCCCCCGCCCGCGGACCUCAGCCCCAAAACUGCCCGCGCUCGGAAUCCAACGCACCAUGGUUCCGGCGCGGAUCUGGCUGCGGCCUCCUGCAGAGGUGCGGAAUCCGAAAGGUUGCCGAAACUACCGCUCGACAAUCUACAGAAAAGCCUUCGGGAUUUUGACGAAGGCGGCGCAGGGCAGGGCAGUCUAUCCCAGAGAUAUCGAUAGAACCCGGCGCUCCCCCGCCCUCAAGGCUCGCCGCCUCUCCAAAGUGGGCGGGGCUCAGGAAGAAGGAGGAGUUGAGAUUGGCGGGAAAUCUUGGGUAAGGAGUGCGGGCGGCAGCAGAGAGUUGCGGGGCGGCCGCUACAAAGUUGCCCUUCUUGGAUUCUCAGUGGUUUGCAGAUUCCCUGUGUUUUUGCAGAUUCCCGCCAAGUCCUCACCGGCCCGACCGAUACACCUGAAAUCGAUGGAGACAACACCUGCGACUCCAGUGCCUGAGAGUUCCACUUUCUGACUUCACCAGCACUGGAUAGGCAAUCAGAACUGGAGAAAUAAGAAAAGACAAUCCAUGAAAGCAGAAGCGGGCAGUCACAGGGAGAGGUAGCAUUCAGACUUCAUGAGUAAGCCAAAGCGGUGAAUAAACAAGAAUCUGAGCGAACGAAAGCCAUGAAGCAGCCCAAAGUUAUAUGAAGUAAUGAUGGAAGUGACAGAAGACAACUAAUACCGCAUCAGAUUCUCUGGAGAAGGAGUUCAUGGCCAGGUCUGGGUCACUGGCCAACCUUGGAGCCAGAGGUACAGUCACCUCCUCUGUUACCAGGGGCGGGGGAAUGGCACUAGACGGACAAAGACUACAGGUGUGCUCCAGUGUGCCAAGUCAGGCUGGGAUUGACUUUUCAGAAGCCAGAACCAAACAUGAGCCCAAAUUACGAGGGUUCGAGGAAGCCAGAGAAAGCAGAGGAAAGCUGUUUCCUGAGAGAAGCAGAAAGUGUAGAGAUGCUCAGAGAGAAGCAGGGAUGGGUGAUGAGGCAGCCGCAUGAGAUACCGCAUAACAUCUCACCUACCUGUUUCAGUCCCAUCCUGGGGGCGUGGUCCCGGCUGGGCUGAUCCCUGCACUUCAGAGCCCCUGGAGACCGUACCUUCUGUAUCAGUUCAAACUACUUCCUUUCCUACUUAAGUUGGUGGGAGUUGUUCUUGGUCUACGAGGCAUUUAACUGGAAGUUUCUUGGUGUCUGCUUAUCUCUCAGGAUCGAGCAUGGCAGACAAGGUACAAAGGUGACAAUUCAACUAGCUGGAAUCAUGUGAAGCAUUUUGCAUACCUUGUCUCCUUUAAUCUGGAGGGUCAGACAGGUAGCAUUAUGGAGGCUCACAGAGGGUUAAGUAUAGCCUACCUUUGUUAUUCAUUGAAUCUGGAUUUGCAGAUUGGCCUACUCCCUAAAAUCUAUUUGUAACCCCAAAUCAGUACCCUGAGUCCUUUCCCAGUGUUGACAGACCCGUGCAGAGUGGUGAAAAAAUUGAAUUGUUCCAGGCACAUGUUCCCAGCUGACAUUAAAAACGUGACACUCAGCCCUUCUGUUUCAGCUCCCACACUGUAAACAAGGUUCCCAUCUGCAGUCUAUUUAGUGCCACAUUUGUCACAUUUCGUGUUGGGUUUUGGCGAUUUCACUAUUUCAGAUGGCCUCCAGUCUGGGCUUCUAAGCACAAGAAAGCCAUGACUGACGUGCCUUACAGAGAAAAUGUGUGUUUGAUCUUUGUUUAGGCAGGAGUUGUAGUGCUGUUGGCUGUGAGGUCAGUGUUAAUGAAUCAGUAAUAUAUAUUAAAUUGUCUGUCUUUAAGCAGAAACAAGCAUAAAAUGAAGUUGUACAUUGACAGGUGAUGAAAAUGUCAUGACCUUGGGCCCACAGGGAUCAAACCCCAUAUUUCCCCUGGGCAUAAUAGUUCAGUGUUUGCUAAUUCAGUGUCUGUAGCGACUUUACAGAGCAUAACUACCACGAAAAACAAGGAUCCACUGUACCAUGUACAGGAUCGGUGGACCAGUUUGGACACCCAGCUCUGAAGCCAUGCCUCUCAGAUUCUGGACACCUCUUGCUCCUUCCAGUGCUCCUUCCACUGCACACUGCUGCCUCCUCUAGAAACUGUUGCCUAGUUGGGAAAUGAACAGGUAUGAAACAACUGUGGAAACCAUAGUAGGAUCUACAUUAAGGCUGGGACAAUAACAUGUAACACAUUUGUCCUCUCAUCCCUUAAAUAUAUGUGGCAGGCAUCGCUCAUCUACCACAGCCCCUCUUCCUGUUGAGCCUUGAUGGGAGCUCCAUACUCCUUCUCAAGACAGGAUCCAGGCAACCACUAUCCACUCAUCAGAGUUGGCCUAUAAGAUGAAACUGUUAACUUCCUUGCAUGAUAGCCGGUGUCCUUAAAGAUGAAGAAUACACUUAGAGGAUCUGCAUUGCCAGGCUUAAGGAACUUGAGAGUUGAAGCGAAUACGUCAGUUUCAAAGCCUAGACCCCCUGGUAGCUCUGAGUGUCUGGUUAACUCUCUUUGGAAAGGCUUUCUGGAUUUUUUUCCCAUAGGACUUUGCUCCUGAAAGAUGCAUCUUGAUGGGAACCAUCUUCUUGUUCAUCUCUGAGUCACUUUGCCUGGAGCAUUGGCUGGCAUAGAGUUGAUCCUCAGUGACGUUUGCUGAACAGAGGUCUGGGCAGCUAGACUGACACCUGUCUUCCCCAGAGGAAAGAGCUCUGGGAUAGGCUAGUGACAGAAUGGAAUCCUUAAGGGCACAAAGCUGGGCAGGCAGAGCUGGGGGUGGGGGGAUGGGGGGUAAAACGGGGAGGGUGUUGGAGUUUUUCAGGGGAAGCAGUUAAGAAAUUGUAAAUGAAACUGAGUUGGAGCUACAUUCUGUUGAAUCUCUCUGUCUCCUUUCUUCAUUUCUCCUCAUGUUCUCUCCUAUGGCUUACCCCUUUAUUUCUGGUAAGAUGGAUCUAGGAAUCCCAAGCAGGACUGGAAUGGAGGCAUAUGGGGGAAGAGAAGUCCUGGGGUAUGGCUUGAGCUGGGAGCUAGUUUUGACUCUGAACUACAGGACCCCAGCCUUCAGCUUACUAGACCUGCUGGGCACCAGUGCUGCCCAUUCUUACACAGGGCUCUGGACGCUUACCACUCCGUUAGCCUAGACUGGCCCCUGUCUUCCUCUGCCCUAUUUACUUUCCCCUUUUCUUCCCCAUCAGUCAUUGCAAAUGGGGUUUCAGAGGGAAUACAGAAGAGGAGAUCGAAGUCAGGCAGGGAAGAGAUAGAUCUACUUGACUGGGAGCCUAAGAAGGGAUUGACGGUGAGUGUACCAAUAUAGCAGGGCAGCUAGAGUGGGAAAAAAUUUUAGAUUUCUGAACCACAUUUUUGCUGUUUUAGUCCUGGAAGUGAUUUUCAGUCAGAAUCUCUGCCCUGGUGUUGGAAGAGCUACAGGAAGCUAGAGAUUCCCAGUCUGUCCCUAACUGGGGAGGAGUGGCGCUUAAGGCUAUGGGAGACGGUGCAUGGGCUUUGGAGUAAGAUUGAGCUAGGUUACCACCUGCUAGCUGUAACGUGGGGUAGGUUCAUUAAUCACUCUGGAUUUUACUCCUUGUAUCUGUAAGAUGAAGAUAACAGUAGUAUGUACCUUAUGGGAUCAUAAUGACUAAAAGAAAUGAGGUUUAGCAAAUUUUGUGCAAUGUGCUCAGGAAACUCAAAUGGUAUCUAUUAUUAUUAUCAUUAAUAAUAUGAUCACCUGGGGUGCCUGGGUGGCUCAGUGGGUUGAGCCUUUGCCUUCGGCUCGGGUCAUGAUCCCAGGGUCCUGAGAUCGAGCCCCACAUCAGGCUCUCUGCUCCGCAGGGAGCCUGCUUCCUCCUCUCUCUCUGCCUGCCUCUCUGCCUACUUGUGAG